Long non-coding RNA from Phacochoerus africanus (Common warthog), 629 nucleotides. RefSeq lists it as uncharacterized. The transcript has 3 exons. The record is from RefSeq and is a predicted model, not a curated record. NCBI's taxonomy places the organism in Eukaryota, Metazoa, Chordata, Mammalia, Artiodactyla, Suidae.
AAGGGGGAGGCGGGAACCCUGACAGGAGAUGGGAGGGUCCAGGGCCCAGGGUUUGCGGCCUCCGGUCUUGGUUUGGCCGCCCAGGGGCUAUUUGGGCCUCCAAAAUGGAGAGGGAGGGUCAGGCACCUCUGUGUGGCCUCUGCGAACUGCGCCCUUUGGAAGUCAGCCGCCAACCGCCUGAUCUCUUCCCAGGCGUCCGCCAUCUCGGCCCUACUCGCCGAGCUGCCGACAAACUGCAGACACGUCAGCCCAAAGGUCUCAGGAGCGGAGGCAGAACGGGCCGCGCGGAGGGACAAGAAACUCCUCCCCGACGCAGCUACGGAACGCGCGAGGCCAGAGCCGCCGGGGGCGUGGCCGGAAGAGCCGCAGCCCCGCCCACCCGCGCGGGAGGUUUGUUCUAAGCUGUGGGAGCCGGGCGAGAGCUGCUUGAGAGCCAGGUUACAAGGUGUUUGUCUGCGGAUGUGAUGCAGGAAAGCCAACUGGGACCAUGGGUGUGAUUCUUCAUCUAUCAUGCUGGCUAGAACUUUGGAGGAAAGAAAAUCUUCUCCAGUCAUCCUUCUCAGAUCUGAGAGCAAGAGGCCUGGAGGUGCUUCAGCCAUUUUGUGACCAUGAGGGAAGAGCCAACAAAG